AUUGAACGCUAGCGGGAUGCUUUACACAUGCAAGUCGAACGGCAGCGCGGACUUCGGUCUGGCGGCGAGUGGCGAACGGGUGAGUAAUGUAUCGGAACGUGCCCAGUAGCGGGGGAUAACUACGCGAAAGCGUAGCUAAUACCGCAUACGCCCUACGGGGGAAAGCAGGGGAUCGUAAGACCUUGCACUAUUGGAGCGGCCGAUAUCGGAUUAGCUAGUUGGUGAGGUAACGGCUCACCAAGGCGACGAUCCGUAGCUGGUUUGAGAGGACGACCAGCCACACUGGGACUGAGACACCGCCCAGACUCCUACGGGAGGCAGCAGUGGGGAAUUUUGGACAAUGGGGGCAACCCUGAUCCAGCCAUCCCGCGUGUGCGAUGAAGGCCUUCGGGUUGUAAAGCACUUUUGGCAGGAAAGAAACGUCGCGGGCUAAUACCCCGUGGAACUGACGGUACCUGCAGAAUAAGCACCGGCUAACUACGUG
RNAcentral lists this ribosomal RNA (484 nucleotides) under uncultured bacterium. RNAcentral's name for it is "partial 16S ribosomal RNA". It matches the Rfam family "Bacterial small subunit ribosomal RNA", at positions 30 to 507 of the family's 1533-position model. The record is from RNAcentral.